CGAAAGCCUGACGGAGCAAGACCGCGUGAGGGAGGAAGGCUCUUGGGUUGUAAACCUCUUUUCUCAGGGAAGAAGCUCUGACGGUACCUGAGGAAUCAGCAUCGGCUAACUCCGUGCCAGCAGCCGCGGUAAUACGGAGGAGGCAAGCGUUAUCCGGAAUUAUUGGGCGUAAAGCGUCCGCAGGUGGCGAUUCAAGUCUGCUGUCAAAGCCAGGAGCUCAACUCCUGUCCGGCAGUGGAAACUGACCCACUCGAGGGUGGUAGGGGUAGAGGGAAUUCCCGGUGUAGCGGUGAAAUGCGUAGAUAUCGGGAAGAACACCAGUGGCGAAGGCGCUCUACUGGACGGCAACUGACACUCAGGGACGAAAGCUAGGGGAGCG
RNAcentral lists this ribosomal RNA (379 nucleotides) under uncultured cyanobacterium. RNAcentral's name for it is "bacterial SSU rRNA". It matches the Rfam family "Bacterial small subunit ribosomal RNA", at positions 376 to 770 of the family's 1533-position model. The record is from RNAcentral. Lineage: Bacteria; Bacillati; Cyanobacteriota.